This 654-nucleotide ribosomal RNA is filed under the name Triticum aestivum (bread wheat). RNAcentral describes it as "partial small subunit ribosomal RNA". The record is from RNAcentral. Lineage: Eukaryota; Viridiplantae; Streptophyta; Magnoliopsida; Poales; Poaceae.
AUGGCAAGUUAUGAAAAAGAGUAUGAUGUUGAAGGAAAUGGGCAUCUCAAUUAGCCCGUCACAUGGUUUCACUUUAAUGUACUACGUGAUCGUCUAUGCCAAGAGUUUAGAAACAACCUUGAUCCAAUUGAAGAGAAGCAAGACAAGUUGUCGAGAUAUCUGCAACAAUUUAUGGGUAAUGUUAAUGAGCAACUCACUCAGAACAUGGCAGCCAUGAGGGCUAAUAUUGUUGCUAUUGUGCGAGAGCUUUGUCAAGGCCGAGAAGAUGCAAGUUUCCAUGGUGAUGAACGUAUUGCAACUGAUGGGGAAGCUGCUGCCUCUAAUACACAAGUUAGAAUAAACCAAGCUCCUGCUCCCCAUGCCAUGAGACCUUCCGGCCCCGGACAUGGAAAUGCUCAUGCUAAUGGUCGUGGUUAUCAUGAAGCUGCUGCUUGUCGUGGUCUUAGAGGAGGCCAAAGAGCAAAUCUGCACCAUGAAGAAAGUGAAGAUGAGUUCGAUGAAGCUGAAGACGGCAUGCACCACAAUGACAAAUUUCAUCAUCGUAGAAACUAUGGUCGUGGACGGCAGGAAGAGGAGAGGUUUGGAAAGCUGAAAUUACCAUGCCCAAGUUUGAUGGUGGAUUUGAUCCAGAAAAUUAUCUCUCAUGGGAAUUGA